CAGUCGCCGCGGUAAUACGUAGGUCCCGAGCGUUGUCCGGAUUUAUUGGGCGUAAAGCGAGCGCAGGCGGUUAGAUAAGUCUGAAGUUAAAGGCUGUGGCUUAACCAUAGUACGCUUUGGAAACUGUUUAACUUGAGUGCAAGAGGGGAGAGUGGAAUUCCAUGUGUAGCGGUGAAAUGCGUAGAUAUAUGGAGGAACACCGGUGGCGGAAGCGGCUCUCUGGCUUGUAACUGACGCUGAGGCUCGAAAGCGUGGGGCGCAAACAGGAUUAGAUACCCGUGUAGUCCCUGUCUCUUAUACA
Molecule: ribosomal RNA, 301 nt
Filed under: uncultured bacterium
Lineage: Bacteria
Description: partial 16S ribosomal RNA
Rfam family: Bacterial small subunit ribosomal RNA
Source: RNAcentral